RNAcentral lists this ribosomal RNA (253 nucleotides) under uncultured bacterium. RNAcentral's name for it is "partial 16S ribosomal RNA". It matches the Rfam family "Bacterial small subunit ribosomal RNA", at positions 524 to 776 of the family's 1533-position model. The record is from RNAcentral.
UACAGAGGUCCCAAGCGUUGUUCGGAUUCAUUGGGCGUAAAGGGUGCGUAGGUGGCGUCGUAAGUCGGGUGUGAAAUCUCGGGGCUUAACUCCGAAACUGCAUUCGAUACUGCGGUGCUUGAGGACUGGAGAGGAGACUGGAAUUUACGGUGUAGCAGUGAAAUGCGUAGAGAUGCGGAGGAACACCGAUGGCGAAGGCAGCCCCCUGGGCCAACACUGACGCUCAGGCACGAAAGCGUGGGGAGCAAACAGG